This 832-nucleotide ribosomal RNA is filed under the name Psychrobacter sp. RNAcentral's name for it is "bacterial SSU rRNA". It matches the Rfam family "Bacterial small subunit ribosomal RNA", at positions 38 to 863 of the family's 1533-position model. The record is from RNAcentral. Lineage: Bacteria; Pseudomonadati; Pseudomonadota; Gammaproteobacteria; Moraxellales; Moraxellaceae.
GGCGGCAGGCUUAACACAUGCAAGUCGAGCGGAAACGAUGGGAGCUUGCUCCCAGGCGUCGAGCGGCGGACGGGUGAGUAACACUUAGGAAUCUACCUAGUAGUGGGGGAUAGCUCGGGGAAACUCGAAUUAAUACCGCAUACGACCUACGGGAGAAAGGGGGCAGUUUACUGCUCUCGCUAUUAGAUGAGCCUAAGUCGGAUUAGCUAGAUGGUGGGGUAAAGGCCUACCAUGGCGACGAUCUGUAGCUGGUCUGAGAGGAUGAUCAGCCACACCGGGACUGAGACACGGCCCGGACUCCUACGGGAGGCAGCAGUGGGGAAUAUUGGACAAUGGGGGGAACCCUGAUCCAGCCAUGCCGCGUGUGUGAAGAAGGCCUUUUGGUUGUAAAGCACUUUAAGCAGUGAAGAAGACCUAACGGUUAAUACCCGUUAGCGAUGACAUUAGCUGCAGAAUAAGCACCGGCUAACUCUGUGCCAGCAGCCGCGGUAAUACAGAGGGUGCAAGCGUUAAUCGGAAUUACUGGGCGUAAAGCGAGCGUAGGUGGCUUGAUAAGUCAGAUGUGAAAUCCCCGGGCUUAACCUGGGAACUGCAUCUGAUACUGUUAAGCUAGAGUAGGUGAGAGGGAAGUAGAAUUCCAGGUGUAGCGGUGAAAUGCGUAGAGAUCUGGAGGAAUACCGAUGGCGAAGGCAGCUUCCUGGCAUCAUACUGACACUGAGGCUCGAAAGCGUGGGUAGCAAACAGGAUUAGAUACCCUGGUAGUCCACGCCGUAAACGAUGUCUACUAGUCGUUGGGUCCCUUGAGGACUUAGUGACGCAGCUAACGCAAUAA